RNAcentral lists this unclassified non-coding RNA (394 nucleotides) under soil metagenome. Its description in RNAcentral is "partial contains 5.8S ribosomal RNA, internal transcribed spacer 2, and large subunit ribosomal RNA". The stretch from base 1 to 122 matches the Rfam family "5.8S ribosomal RNA", at positions 35 to 154 of the family's 154-position model. The record is from RNAcentral.
GAUGAAGAACGUAGCGAAAUGCGAUACUUGGUGUGAAUUGCAGAAUCCCGUGAACCAUCGAGUCUUUGAACGCAAGUUGCGCCCGAAGCCAUCAGGUUGAGGGCACGUCUGCCUGGGCGUCACAUAUCGUUGCCCAAUGCCUAUUGCAGUGCAAUAGGAAUUUCUAGGGCGAAUGAUGGCUUCCCGUGAGCGUUGUUGCCUCGCGGUUGGUUGAAAAUCGAGUCCUUGGUAGGGUGUGCCAUGGUAGAUGGUGGUCGAGUUAGAACGAUACCGAUCAUGUGCAUGCUCCCCAAAAUAUGGCCUCUAUGACCCACACGCGUCUUUUGACGCUCAUGACGAGACCUCAGGUCAGGCGGGGCUACCCGCUGAAUUUAAGCAUAUCAAUAAGCGGAGG